GUAAUUCCUGCUUAUGCCGGUGAACGGUUAACUAGUGAUGUAAUAGGAAUUAUCCUUGUGUUCGGACUUUGACGUGACUUAUUGGAUGCCGAUUGUGUUUUGAGUGGCUCGACGCUUUGUGUUUAUGUUGUGUCUCGAGUUUCCUGGAUAAGCCUUUUGAUUUGUUUUUGUGCCUUCCCAGAGCUGCUGUCUCCGUUGGUAACCAUUUUUCAUUCAAAAUCAGAAGGUUUUGCCGGGUUCUGUAAGAAGUUUUAGCACACGAGAGAUGUCUUGAACAUAAGGAACUAACUGAAAUGGAAGUUUGGAACUGCAUGGUGCAGUAGUUUAACAGCUGUUUAAAUACUUCUACUAAACUGGAAAUCUCCAAAACCAGCCUGACUACUUUCGAUAAACUGGAAGAUAUAGUUCAGUAAGUUACCUAGUUGGAUAGAGCUAGAGCGAUGUGCAGAAAGGUCUGGCACUGAAGGAACACUUGUGAUUGGUUACUUAAUAAAAUAUAUUUGGAUGUC
Long non-coding RNA from Macrobrachium nipponense, 509 nucleotides. RefSeq lists it as uncharacterized. The record is from RefSeq and is a predicted model, not a curated record. The transcript is spliced from 3 exons. NCBI's taxonomy places the organism in Eukaryota, Metazoa, Arthropoda, Malacostraca, Decapoda, Palaemonidae.